Molecule: long non-coding RNA, 3213 nt
Organism: Parus major (Great Tit)
Lineage: Eukaryota; Metazoa; Chordata; Aves; Passeriformes; Paridae
Exons: 2
Source: RefSeq, a predicted model, not a curated record
UGUCCUGAAAAGAGUAAAUGAAGAUCAUUUACAGGCAUCUUUCAUCAAAACAUUUUAAAAACACUUUGAAAACAGGCUGUUAGUGCAAGAGACUGAUUGAUUCAGCAUUCUCAGAGGAUGUAACUUCUCCUUAUUGUUCUUCCAGUGUGCUGCCUGAAGCUUGCUGGCUUCCCUGGAGGAAAGUUUUACCUUGCUUCCCCAGUUUCAGGUUUAAAGCUGAAGUGGGAAAUUUCAGCUAUAUAAGAUACAGUCUUACAACUCUCAAAUAUAUGAAAUAUCUACAGCUUAAUUUUACUGGAAGUAUUUGAUAGAUCAGAGUUAUAAACUUCACUGUGUAAAACAGAAUUCUUCCACUCUGUUUAGCUCUUGGAAGGCUCCAGGUGUGUCUGUCUGGGGAAAUAAAACUUAAGGGGGAUGGAGCCUGCUGAAAGAAAUCUAGAAGCAAGCAAGAAGAGAAUCAGAAGUCUCAAAAAUGCACAGUUUGGGAGAAAAAAAUGAAUGUAUGUCCUGAAUAGAACAAGAAGCACAAGAACUGGAUUGGAGCCAAAGAGAGUUUCAUUUCACAUAAAAAUGCUCUUCGGGUGGACAACAUGCUUUAGGAGUAGAACAAGACACCCAGACAGGUGCAAAAUUGGCAUCAUCGGAAGGUGAGACUACAUUAAACUGCUGUCACCAGCCCUGGCUAUCAGCAGAGUUGAUCAGACAUGGGUAUAGACAAGCAUCUCUUCCAUACAUCGUAAGUUCUGAUGUUGCAUUUGAAAUCACAAUUUUUGUACUUAAUAUUGAUAUGAGCUUAGAGCCAGAAAAGUUAGAGAAUCCUUGACAUUCCUGUGAAUCUCCUUUCAUUCUUACUAAUACUUCACCUGUUAUUUAAGCUUCCUGUUACACAACUCUAUACAUAUUUUUAGUUUUCAGCUGUGCGAAUAUGGUUGUCAUGAGAAGAAUGCAAAAUCCACAUUCCCAAAGUUUACAUAGUUCUUUAAAGAGUGUCUGAAAUAAAUCCCACAGUGUCCUGGAUUUAAAAAUCCUGAGAAACCAGAAACAUGUAAUUUGUUAUUUCUGAGAAACUGAAUCUCCCAAGUUUCUGCAAAUCAAAGAAACUAUUUAGUGAAUGUGUCAUAUUGGAAAUGGAUGGGCAGAGAGGCAAGAAAUUAGCACUAGAUCAGAAAAAGAAACUCAGUAGGAAGCCAGGAGAGGCAUCAGGCUCUGGAUAAGUUUGUUUCAUUAUUAAGUUCCUAGUCUAAGAUUUUAUUAAAGGGACAAUCUUUAUUUAUAAAUUUUUAAGCUGCCUGUCUUCUCCUCAGUGGCCCUUUCAGGCUUAGGAUUUUUUAUUCUAAUAUUAUAAAUACCUCCAAACUGACGUAAAAAUUAGCCACUGGUUUUGAGAUAGAUACACUGGAAGUAACUGGGAAGAUGAAUAAUGUAUUUUCUAGAUUUUGAAAAUGUUUUGGCAAGAAAUGUUUGUUAAACUUCCAUGAUCAUACUCUUUACUCAAACCUUUGCAUCUGAAGUUUGCAGUGUCUGAUCAGAAGUCUGAGAUCUUGGUCAUAAAUUAACCAAAGGGUGACUGAUGCCUUAAACCAGAGGGGAUUUAGAAAGCCAUGACACUAUUGGAGGAUACCUGGAUUCUCCCCAAAAGCCAUCCCACCCUCCAUUUCCUCAUGCCACUCACAAAUAGGGGAGGUUUUUGCUCUCCCUACUCAUAACACAGAACUGGUGUCUUCAAAUAGGUUUUAAAAGCUGCAGAAGCAAAAUCCAGUUAAUCACUGGCUCAGGCCCAGCAGAGCUGAGGCUCACACUUAAGGACCAAGCAGCCAGACACAAUUCCUCAGGGAAAAGAUCAAGAUGACUUUUUUAAUGAAAGCUCCUUAUAACUUGACAAAUUCUAGUCAAGCAUUUAGCAUGAGGUGAGUCUGCUGGCAUUAUUUACUGUACUGUGAAGGCUCAGGAUUUCACACAUGUUUUCACAUGGGAAUAACUGCUUAGCUCCUGCCAAGGAACGGGCUAUGCUCCAGCAGAUCUCUCAUCCCACUGCCUAGUGCUGGGCCACAGAGCCAUGCACCAUCUCCUCUGUGAGGCUUGUGCCUGGCUGGCCAGCAGCAUUUCACACCCUAAAAAUACACAUCUAAAAAUUCAACUGUAAACACGUCUAACAAUCAGGAACCCUUGGUAUCAAGUGGCCUGAUGAGAACCCCUUUGAGUGCAGGUUUGUAAUUAGUCUGCUGGGCUCAGUUUCCACCCCCCUGGAGAGGAUGGUCUUCAGCUGUGGGGAAAGAAAGGCCCAGGGCUUUGAAAAAGGCCCAGCAGUGCUGCCAGGUUUGGUUUUCUGUUCCUUGAGGAAUUUGGUUGGGAGUAUUGACUCACUUGUGUGCUUGCAUGGACAUCACUGAGGAGAGGCUUGCAAACUAAAUAACAUGUUUAAUUCUUUGGGUUUUCUUAAAACUUUUCACUGCUUUAACACUCUUUUACCUUUUUUUAUUUUUUUUAAUGUAUAAAUACCCUCUGAAGAUUGCUUGCAGAAGCAAUGUCAGAAUAGAAAUGGGGGGCUUAUGUGUAUUUGUUCCUUCUGACUGAAGUGGGGAAAAGGGGCAGGAAAAUGGUUUUCCCUCCUGCCUAGCAGCUGGAUGUGUGUGUGGCUGCCACCAGGUAAAGCUCUCUGCACUGGAAAGGACUGGGGAGAGCAGGUGUUUGUUCAAGGGUGCCCAGUCUGGCUACAACUCCCAGUGCCCUGCCCCACAGAAGGUGAUGUUCAGGCAGGGGAAGGCUCCAGAGCUGUUUACCAUUCUUUCCCCCUUUCUGUUCAUCAGGGUGGCCAGCUGUAGGAAAAGCCCAGCACGUGUCCUACACCAGCGUAGGAAAAGCCUGACCAGCCUGGCCUCCUGGCUAAUUUCCUAAUCAAGUGCAGGGAUACAGAAUGCUUUUGUUUUUUAAACUGUGACAGAAGUAUUGCACAGCCUGUCCUGGGCAUGUGAGUUCCUUGUGCUGGUUGUUUAUCCUCUUGUGGGAAAAAGAGAGAGGGCACUGGAGAAGACAGUAUUGACCUGAGAAAGCUUUAGCAGACAUUAGUAAUGAAUGUGCUCUGUCUGCACUCACUCGAGGUUGAAGAGGUGACAGCCAGACCUGAGGCUUCUGAGCCAUCAUCUGUUCCUAAACAAAUAAAGGACCAGGAGUCUGGGGGAAAGAGCUAAAAUAAGAGAGAGCCUGCUGAAUCAA